ACAGGUUUUCCACUAGUUACCACAGCCACAAAGUAGAAAUGGCCCAUUUCGUAAAAUCUAUGAAAGCAGAAACGUGCUUUUUAGUCUUCGUUUUGGGUUAGGGUUAUGCAUAAGGUUAGCAGUGUGGUUAAGGUUUCAAAUUAGAUUUUAAGAUGAUACAUUUUAGGAAUAGGCAGGUUCAUGACUUUGUGGCUGUGGUAACUAGUGACGACCAACAAACACCAACGGAACACAAAUCUGCAAAGACCGCAAAUAUUUCUCACCUCCUUGAAGGAUACUCACUGCUCAAAGAUUUCAAUUGAGUUUUUGUUCAUUUCAUUAAGUAGUUAGUCGCCCGAUGUUAUUGAUAUGCAGCCAGGAGUACAAGUAACGUUAGAUUCUUAAACUAUGUUUAUGGAGCCUACCUUAUGCAACUGAUGACCUAGAAAUGGCUGGCUAGCUGGAACCGACUCGCAAUGGAAAUUGCAUUCACGUUGACGUGGUUAAGAAAGCCCUUGGAUUCUGCUCCCUGUCCAGGCCCCAAAACGCUGAAUGAACCGCAGAGCAAAAACUCCGGCGUUAGCAGAGACCAAAACACGACAGCCACGAAUCAUCAGCUGCGGUACGGGUUGGAAUGGAAACAGCGACACCCCCGGUAGCUGUCACUCUCACAUCUGUCAGACGUUGAACUGUCAAUGUUUUUAUUCUGGUUUUAUUACCAUUUUCAAAAACGCAUGUAAGGACAUAUUCAUAGCUAUGUAUUAUAUCACCAUGUUUGUUUUGUUUAGCCAACUGUUCUAAUGUUUACAAUGUGCAACCAGGCAGUCAUGAUGGAAUAGAAAUACUUUAAUACCACACAUUCAUAUUGAUACUUUAUCCCAAAAGGCUUUAGGACAAGAACAUACUACUGACUACAUGCUGAAAUCUUGCUCCCAAACAUAUCCCUUCCAAGUCAGUUUUAAGAACAAAACAGUUCAUUCUUUUCUAACCAACAUUCACAUUGGUGCCCAACAAUUCACAUUUAAAAUAUUGAGCUUAUUCUUGGCAGUAGAGUUUGGGCAAGUAAAAAAGCUUUCUAACCCAAGUCAUAUGAAUAAUAACACUUGGCUGUUUAGGUAGAAGAAACUGGCUGUGGUAGAUGGUGAGGGUGUUGCUAGAAUCUUUAUCUAUUUGAAUCUCCAAAUCUCCAAACUACUCCAGCUACUACUCCAGCUCUCUAUGGUUUAGGAGCAUAUCUUUCGUAAAACCUGCUCAAUUUAAAGGUUAAAACAUGCAGGCCCAAAAUGAUGCUCCAGAGCUUUUGUAUAAUUUGAGCCAGUAGUUUUAAAAGUAGUUCUCAUGAACCCAACAAGUCCCUGAAAAUUGUGCACAAUUGUAUGUUACGUCAUCCACUUAAGAUCCCGGACUACAUCUUUAAGACACAUGUUGGUUCUGCUCUAGGCCACACACAGCAUCUGGAAGUGCAGUAUGAGUGUCAUUAAGACAGACAGCAAGAAACAAAUGAAUACUACAUUGGAAGGUGUAAGACAUUUAGCCAACUUAAAGGUAUAGACAGUCAUUUCAGGUACCCUACCAGUAAUAUAAUAGGUGAUAAAAAAAUACAAGAAGUAGAACUGGCAGAGACAGGUAUGGCAAGAGAGAAUAAUGGAUAUUUGGCAAGGUUACAGUACAUUGGAGGCUGAUAUACUGUAACUUUCUAUAGAUCUAACAGUGUUGGUCCAUUUAUAUUGUACAUUUAUCCUAUGGCUUUGAGCUACUGUUAAGGCAAACCUGUAGAAAAUCAGAGUCUGGAAAUUCAUUUUCUCCAUAUCUGUUUUUAUCUUGCCCACUAAAAAUGGUAUUGGAACAUACAGUGAGCUCCAAAAGUAUUGGAACAGUGACCAUUUUUGUUGUUGUUUUAGCUCUGUA
This is a long non-coding RNA of Oncorhynchus tshawytscha (Chinook salmon), 1887 nucleotides long. RefSeq lists it as uncharacterized. Lineage: Eukaryota; Metazoa; Chordata; Actinopteri; Salmoniformes; Salmonidae. The transcript is spliced from 3 exons. The record is from RefSeq and is a predicted model, not a curated record.